This 202-nucleotide long non-coding RNA is filed under the name Panax ginseng (ginseng). RNAcentral's name for it is "long non-coding RNA (PGIN_LNC013741)". Lineage: Eukaryota; Viridiplantae; Streptophyta; Magnoliopsida; Apiales; Araliaceae. The record is from RNAcentral.
UCCAAAUUAGCAGAGAGGUGUUUGCCAUUCUUUGAUACGUUGAAGGGACUGAAGAAUGCGAAGACUUUCCAGUGGACUUCGGAGUGUGAAGACACCUUCCAAGGCAUAAAGACGUAUUUGUCUUCGGCUCCUUUAUUGGUGAAACCUGCUCCGGCUGAAACUUUGUAUUUAUACCUGGCAGCUAGUUCGUUGGCAGUUGGAG